GCUAUUCUUAGGAAUAUUGGGUUGUGUGCCUCCUUUUUUUUUAACGUGGGCCGAGAAGAAGAUGUUGACGUGCUUGGGUGGCAGCUGCUGGAAGUUGUAAUUGCUGGAUGUGUGGAGGCUGGAUCAAGUUGGACCUCUUCUCGUGCUGCAGCUGGGCAUCCAAGUUGCUUGCUGGAUGAAGAAAUGAGUGGCCCAAACCGUGACAGCAGCUACUAGAGUCUGUGUGCUCCUCCCAACGUCGAAGUGAAUGUGUGCAGGCCGUGCACUCCUCCUGGGCCCAAUUGCUCUCUUCAAUUCAAUCAAUGCUUUUUAAAUAUGUUGGCUGCGUCACAAGCAAGGUUGCAGGACGUGAUUUUGCUUCAAUGUUCCUUGUUCCAUAGGCCCCGCUGGAUGUAACAUUUCCCUCCAUCACCUUUUUGGACCGUGACACUCUUUUUUUCCAAUAGAAAAAUAUUUCCACACAACAUUGCUGCACACACCUCCCAUAGCGUGUCCUAUUCACAUGAGGAUGGCAGCUGCUCUUUUCUUGUUCAGUCCUUGCUAUGGUACCAAUUAAAUCAACACUUUUUUUAUUUCAAACCUCACCAUAUGUUUCCUCCAAUAGAAAAAAAAAUGACUGCAUCCCUUCCUAAUGUCCUAAACUGUAUUUCUAAAUUAUUUUCCUGCAAUUAAUAAUGCAAAUAAUUAUCUCAGAUAAUUAAAAUUAAUUAAAAUAAGAAUUUCCUGUCAAAUUAAGCACAAUUAGCAAAAACGGAAAUAUACCAGACAAUUAAGCACAAUUCCCUGAUUAAUUCUAGCACAAUAAACUAAGUGAAAUCAAUAAAAUAUCGACUCAUCAGGGCACAUGGACGAAUCGAACAUAUACCGGAAUGAGAGGGAUUUGGAGAUUGUAUAGGUAUGGGACUAUACAGUUGAAGGAUAGCUUAAAGGAAUUGAUUUGACUACUCAUAUCAACAAAUGCAUUUCCUUUUCGGUAGCCUAACUCAUAAGAACUCCUGGAAAGCCUCGUGCUGAUCUGUGGGGGCAGUCAGCAGUCCCUGUAAGUUGCCGGGGCAUUACACAGUAUAGACUAGGAAGUGACUCCUAGGUCACAUCUCAAGGACCAAAUGUGGUUCGAGAACCUAACACUGUAAUAGACAAAUAUCCAAACAGAAUUAAAAUUAUCAAAAUGCAACACUAAAUUUAAAAUAUAAAAAAAAAAUUCAACAUAUGUAAAAUAAUUUAAAGCAAAAGAAAUAAACAAACAUAAACUAUUUCCACCAUGUCAUGUGACACAUAUGCACCUCUCAAAAGAAAAUUAAAAUUCCAAAAUGCUUGAAGUUCCCUUUGUCGUGACCUCCUUGUCUUAUCAUGAAUCAUGCUUCAUCAAAGGAAUUGGAAUUAUGCUUGUGAAAUAAAAAAAAAUUAAGAAAUCGUGGCAGUGAGCCCAGACCGUGCUGUCAUGUUUUCCAAGCAAUGCAUCGAUUUUUUUCUCUAAUUACCACCUCCGUACAACACACACCUACUUCCACCUUAUCACUUCUUCAUUUCCAAAUAAAUAAAAGGGCUAAAUUCCUACACCUAUUCGGCUGCCAGCAUCCCCCACCUCCAUCCUACCUAAUCUAUUUUCAAUUCAUUAAAAGAAAAGCAAAGAAAAUAAAAUGCUAGCACCUCAUUCACAGGAAUCAACACCUACUAACUUCUACCAUCUAAUCACUCUUCAUGCUAAAAGAAAAGUUGAUAACAAUUGCCAAUGUCCCAUCACCCCUAGGCUCCAACCUAUUCUACUCUUCAAUUUAUAAAAACAAAAGCUAAUGCUACUCUCCUAACAAAGCCGUGA
This 1819-nucleotide long non-coding RNA is filed under the name Vigna radiata. Its description in RNAcentral is "long non-coding RNA (VRAD_LNC009917)". Lineage: Eukaryota; Viridiplantae; Streptophyta; Magnoliopsida; Fabales; Fabaceae. The record is from RNAcentral.